GACGAACGCUGGCGGCGUGCUUAACACAUGCAAGUCGAACGGGAGUAUUGAAGAAGCUUGCUUUAGAGAUACUUUAGUGGCGGACGGGUGAGUAACGCGUGAGGAGCUGUCCUAUGCAGGGGGACAACAGCUGGAAACGGCUGCUAAUACCCCAUAAGCCGAGAGGUAAAAGGAUCAAUCCGGCAGAGGAGGUACUCGCGUCCUAUCAGCUAGUAGGUGAGGUAACGGCUCACCUAGGCGAAGACGGGUAGCCGGCCUGAGAGGGCGAACGGCCACACUGGAACUGAGAUACGGUCCAGACUCCUACGGGAGGCAGCAGUGGGGAAUAUUGGGCAAUGGGGGAAACCCUGACCCAGCGACGCCGCGUGGGUGAAGAAAUCCUUCGGGAUGUAAAGCCCUGUUGUAUGGGAAGAGCGGAAGACGGUACCAUACGAGGAAGCCCCGGCAAACUACGUGCCAGCAGCCGCGGUAAAGUCACGUCG
RNAcentral lists this ribosomal RNA (482 nucleotides) under uncultured bacterium. RNAcentral describes it as "bacterial SSU rRNA". It matches the Rfam family "Bacterial small subunit ribosomal RNA", at positions 28 to 530 of the family's 1533-position model. The record is from RNAcentral.